UAAGGAAUAUUGGUCAAUGGACGCAAGUCUGAACCAGCCAUGCCGCGUGAAGGAUGAAGGUCCUCUGGAUUGUAAACUUCUUUUAUCUGGGACGAAAACGGGAUUUUUAUCUCAAUUGACGGUACCAGAGGAAUAAGCACCGGCUAACUCCGUGCCAGCAGCCGCGGUAAUACGGAGGGUGCGAGCGUUAUCCGGAUUUACUGGGUUUAAAGGGUGCGUAGGUGGGCUUAUAAGUCAGUGGUGAAAUCUCCGAGCUUAACUUGGAAACUGCCGUUGAUACUAUAGGUCUUGAAUUAUCUGGAGGUAAGCGGAAUAUGUCAUGUAGCGGUGAAAUGCUUAGAUAUGACAUAGAACACCAAUUUCGAAGGCAGCUUACUACAUAUAAAUUGACGCUGAGGCACGAAAGCGUGGGGA
RNAcentral lists this ribosomal RNA (414 nucleotides) under uncultured bacterium. RNAcentral describes it as "bacterial SSU rRNA". It matches the Rfam family "Bacterial small subunit ribosomal RNA", at positions 355 to 767 of the family's 1533-position model. The record is from RNAcentral.